Molecule: ribosomal RNA, 533 nt
Filed under: Vibrio cholerae
Lineage: Bacteria; Pseudomonadati; Pseudomonadota; Gammaproteobacteria; Vibrionales; Vibrionaceae
Description: partial 23S ribosomal RNA
Rfam family: Bacterial large subunit ribosomal RNA
Source: RNAcentral
UGUCCAACGUUAAUCGGGGCAGGGUGAGUCGACCCCUAAGGUGAGGCCGAAAGGCGUAAUCGAUGGGAAACGGGUUAAUAUUCCCGUACUUCUGACUAUUGCGAUGGGGGGACGGAGAAGGCUAGGUGGGCCAGGCGACGGUUGUCCUGGUUCAAGUGCGUAGGCUUGAGAGUUAGGUAAAUCCGGCUCUCUCUAAGGCUGAGACACGACGUCGAGCUGCUACGGCAGUGAAGUCAUUGAUGCCAUGCUUCCAGGAAAAGCCUCUAAGCUUCAGAUAGUCAGGAAUCGUACCCCAAACCGACACAGGUGGUCGGGUAGAGAAUACCAAGGCGCUUGAGAGAACUCGGGUGAAGGAACUAGGCAAAAUGGUACCGUAACUUCGGGAGAAGGUACGCUCUUGAUGGUGAAGUCCCUCGCGGAUGGAGCUGACGAGAGUCGCAGAUACCAGGUGGCUGCAACUGUUUAUUAAAAACACAGCACUGUGCAAAAUCGCAAGAUGACGUAUACGGUGUGACGCCUGCCCGGUGCCGGAA